AGUGAACGCUGGCGGCGUGCUUAACACAUGCAAGUCGAACGAGAACGGACUAUAGCUUGCUAUAGUUGUCAGCUAAGUGGCGCACGGGUGAGUAAUAUAUAGGUAAUGUGCCCUAGAGAGGGGGAUAACAUUUGGAAACGAAUGCUAACACCCCAUAUGCCCUUAAGACAAAAGUCUGCAGGGGAAAUAUUUAUAGCUCUAGGAUCGGCCUGUACGGUAUCAGCUUGUUGGUGAGGUAAUGGCUCACCAAGGCAAUGACGCCUAACUGGUUUGAGAGGAUGAUCAGUCACACUGGAACUGAGACACGGUCCAGACUCCUACGGGAGGCAGCAGUGGGGAAUAUUGCACAAUGGGGGAAACCCUGAUGCAGCAACGCCGCGUGGAGGAUGACACAUUUCGGUGCGUAAACUCCUUUUAUAUAGGAAGAUAAUGACGGUACUAUAUGAAUAAGCGCCGGCUAACUCCGUGCCAGC
This 473-nucleotide ribosomal RNA is filed under the name uncultured bacterium. RNAcentral's name for it is "bacterial SSU rRNA". It matches the Rfam family "Bacterial small subunit ribosomal RNA", at positions 29 to 512 of the family's 1533-position model. The record is from RNAcentral.